CAGUCGCCACGGUAAUACGAAGGGGGCUAGCGUUGUUCGGAAUUACUGGGCGUAAAGCGCACGUAGGCGGAUAUUUAAGUCAGGGGUGAAAUCCCGCAGCUCAACUGCGGAACUGCCUUUGAUACUGGGUAUCUUGAGUAUGGAAGAGGUUAGUGGAAUUGCGAGUGUAGAGGUGAAAUUCGUAGAUAUUCGCAGGAACACCAGUGGCGAAGGCGGCUAACUGGUCCAUAACUGACGCUGAGGUGCGAAAGCGUGGGGAGCAAACAGGAUUAGAUACCCCUGUAGUCCCUGUCUCUUAUAC
This 301-nucleotide ribosomal RNA is filed under the name uncultured bacterium. RNAcentral describes it as "partial 16S ribosomal RNA". It matches the Rfam family "Bacterial small subunit ribosomal RNA", at positions 509 to 807 of the family's 1533-position model. The record is from RNAcentral.